Molecule: ribosomal RNA, 465 nt
Filed under: uncultured bacterium
Lineage: Bacteria
Description: partial 16S ribosomal RNA
Rfam family: Bacterial small subunit ribosomal RNA
Source: RNAcentral
CCUACGGGAGGCAGCAGUGGGGAAUAUUGCGCAAUGGGCGAAAGCCUGACGCAGCGACGCCGCGUGAGGGAUGAAGGUCUUCGGAUCGUAAACCUCUGUCAGCAGGGAAGAACGGUCACUGUGCUAAUCAGCAGUGAAUUGACGGUACCUGCAAAGGAAGCACCGGCUAACUCCGUGCCAGCAGCCGCGGUAAUACGGAGGGUGCGAGCGUUAAUCGGAAUUACUGGGCGUAAAGCGCUCGUAGGCGGUAUGUCAAGUCAAGGGUGAAAUCCCCGCGCUCAACGUGGGAACUGCCUUUGAAACUGGCAAACUGGAGUGUGUGAGAGGAUAGUGGAAUGCCAGGUGUAGGAGUGAAAGCCGUAGAUAUCUGGAGGAACAUCAGUGGCGAAGGCGACUAUCUGGCACAUAACUGACGCUGAGGAGCGAAAGCGUGGGUAGCAAACAGGAUUAGAUACCCUUGUAGUA